GACGACGCUGGCGGCGUGCCUAAUACAUGCAAGUAGAACGAGUUGCGAACGGGUGAGUAACGCGUGGUAACCUGCCUCAUAGCGGGGGAUAACUAUUGGAAACGAUAGCUAAUACCGCAUACCAUCGGAUGUGCCCAGAUGGGAUUAGCUAGUAGGUGGGGUAACGGCUCACCUAGGCGACGAUCCCUAUCUGGUCUGAGAGGAUGACCAGCCAAAAUGGAACUGAGACACGGUCCAGACUCCUACGGGAGGCAGCAGUGGGGAAUAUUGCACAAUGGGGGAAACCCUGAUCCAGCCAUCACGCGUGUGCGAUGAAGGCCUUCGGGUUGUAAAGCACUUUUGGCAGGAAAGCGGUACCUGCAGAAUAAGCACCGGCUAACUACGUGCCAGCAGCCGCGGUAAUAC
This 405-nucleotide ribosomal RNA is filed under the name uncultured bacterium. Its description in RNAcentral is "partial 16S ribosomal RNA". It matches the Rfam family "Bacterial small subunit ribosomal RNA", at positions 32 to 526 of the family's 1533-position model. The record is from RNAcentral.